AACGAACGCUGGCGGCAGGCUUAACACAUGCAAGUCGAACGCCCCGAAAGGGGGGUGGCAGACGGGUGAGUAACGCGUGGGAAUCUACCCAGUUCUACGGAACAACUGAGGGAAACUUCAGCUAAUACCGUAUACGCCCUACGGGGGAAAGAUUUAUCGGAAUGGGAUGAGCCCGCGUAAGAUUAGCUAGUUGGUGGGGUAAAGGCCUGCCAAGGCGACGAUCUUUAGCUGGUCUGGGAGGAUGAUCAGCUACACUGGGACUGAGACACGGCCCAGACGCUUGAGGGAGGCAGCAGUGGGGAAUAUUGGACAAUGGGUGCAGGCCUGAUCCAGCCAUGCCGCGUGAGUGAUGAAGGCCUUAGGGUUGUAAAGCUCUGUCAGUGGGCACGAUUAUGACGGUACCCACAGAAGAAGCCCCGGCUAACUCCGUGCCAGCAGCCGCCGUAA
This 447-nucleotide ribosomal RNA is filed under the name uncultured bacterium. RNAcentral describes it as "partial 16S ribosomal RNA". It matches the Rfam family "Bacterial small subunit ribosomal RNA", at positions 29 to 523 of the family's 1533-position model. The record is from RNAcentral.